Molecule: transfer RNA, 73 nt
Filed under: Dipodomys ordii (Ord's kangaroo rat)
Lineage: Eukaryota; Metazoa; Chordata; Mammalia; Rodentia; Heteromyidae
Rfam family: tRNA
About the family: Transfer RNA (tRNA) molecules are approximately 80 nucleotides in length.
Source: Rfam by way of RNAcentral
GGUAGAGUGGCUCAUGUGGUAAAGUGCUUGCUUAGCAAGCGUGAGACCCUGAGUUCAAACCCCAGCACCACCA